RNAcentral lists this long non-coding RNA (3439 nucleotides) under Sorghum bicolor (sorghum). RNAcentral describes it as "long non-coding RNA (SBIC_LNC002993)". Lineage: Eukaryota; Viridiplantae; Streptophyta; Magnoliopsida; Poales; Poaceae. The record is from RNAcentral.
CAACACUGGAGCCGAAGUCAACAUCAUGGCUAAGGUAACCUAUGAAUUUCUAUAUGGAAAGAUGUCAUUGCAUUCCACAUUUGUGCAGCUGUAGAUGGCGGACCAAAUCUACUGGUUUCCAGAAGGAAUUGCCAAGGACAUACCAGUACAAAUUGAUGACCACUUCAUCCCUAUUGACUUCCUAGUCUUAGACAUGGGAGAAGAAGACUAUGAUCCACCGAUCAUCCUUGGAAGACCGUUCCUCAACACUACUCGAGCGAUCAUCUACAUCGGGAUCGGAGAAGCCCACUUCCAAUUCCCAUUGGAAAAGGUACACCGUUAUUUUACUAACUAUGAAGUGAGUGAAGAACCCUAGAAGAACAGGUCAAGAAGGAGGCGUUGUUCUCAAUGCCAAAAGAAAUAAAUCCCUAAGGACGAAUGGGCUGACUAUGAAGGAGAGGUAACAAGACAUGAAGAUUUGUUCCUAGAGAAGGACACCAUAGAAGAAGUAAAUGAAGACAUCAUUAAAGACGAAGCUCCCUCAUCGAAGUCUACCUCACCAGCCAAUAAGGUAUGGGUUCAAAGAGCUAUAAUUAUUUCUGACUCACCAGCGUAGGAAGAAGAGCCAAUGGAGUCACCGGAUAAGACAUCCGGAGUGACUGAAGAAAACUAUGCGAAGGGAGACAUCCUGUUAGGCGGAUACAAAACACCAAACCUUUGCCAAAAGGUAUAUUUGGUAGUUAUCCAUAUUUCCCUUUUCAAUGCUGCAUUAGUUUCCUUUAGAAGCAUGUUUAAUUUCCUCACAGUCAUAAUCAUUUAGUUCAACACCUUUUUGCAUUCAGAAUAGAAAAUAAAAAUACUCAUCAUGCAUAGUUUCCAAAAACAUUUACAAAAAUGCAAAGCCCCAUGUGAAUAACUUUGUGGCAAUCCAUAAAGAUUACUCACCGUGGUGGCACAAAAAUAAAUAGACUAGUUGCAUUUUCCCUUUAUGCAUUAUAAAUUUGAAAAUCCAUAAAAAUAUAAAAACAUUUAAAAUACUAAAUAGAAAAAAGAUCCUUGAUAUUAUGUGCUCAAUCAAUUGUUAGUUCUAGACACUCAUGGCUUAUAGGUUUAUCACUAACACUUAAUCCAGUUCCACAAGCUUUGUUGCCUAUUUGAGCUCCACAGAAUUUGAAGGAUCAAGAAGGCCGACGACCAAAGGAGGUAUCUUUGCUGACAAUCUACUACAUCAAGAGACCACGUCAACAUCCAGCUUGGUGGAGAGCAUACCCCCUAUAUGUAGCUAAGUGCUUGUUCCAUCUUUUGAAAUUUUGAAUGUGAAUUUGAAGUCGACUUAUCUAGAUUAUGAAAAUAAAUAAAAAGAUGAAUAAACAUUUAGAAACCAAAUAAAAAUUUCCCAACAUAUUUUCUAUAUGAUUUUAGAAUUGCUAAAGUAAAUAAAUAAAUAAAAGGUGAAGAUACAAGGAUUAAUUUUGCUUAUGCCAAACCAAAGCUUAACUCACAUGGAAAUGAUGAAUAGUUGCUCUGCGAGACUUUAUGAGUGCUUUGCUUUUAAACUCGAGCUGUCCCAAGUUUUAGACAACUAUUUUGAUUAAGAAUUUACUCCGAGCCUGAAACUUGUGGGUUGCAAUGUUUGAGCUUAAUUCUAGGUAGUUGUUUGAUAUGAUAUGAAAAGGUUUUAAGCUGCUAUUAAUCAUGUUCCUAGAGAUGCAGGACUUCUGGAGAGUUUAUCUUUUGAAAAACAUAAAAAUGCUGCAUGAUGAGUUCCAAUAUGAUGAAAGCUUGAAUUCCUACCACAGCCAGAUAUACAUGUCUUGUAGACUAGGAAAACACUUCACUAUCAUUUACUGCUUAUGGGCAUUGAGUUUUGUCAAGCUUUGUUGACCCUUAGGAACUAGUCAUGCUUUUUAAAAUAAAGAUCAUGUACACUCCUCCCAUUUAUGUUGCUUCUACACCGGAAGUACGCAUCCACCAUCAUUUCAUCUAGACCCACACAAAAUUGUUUUACUCCUACACUAGGAGUGAACACCAAAAACGUCCCAUUCAUUCAUCCAUUGCCAUUUAAUAAAGCUCCAAUUGUUUCUUGUUGCUACCUACCAUUUCAUUAUCCAGAAAAGAGAUUUGGGUGCUCUCUAAACGAAAAAGAGGACAAUGGUCCCAACGAAAAAAAGAAACAAAGAAAAAGAAAAAGAAAGAAAAAGAAAAAGAAAGAAAAAUAGAGCAACACAAACUCUCCCCAAAACUUCCAAUAAAGGUAGGUAUAUUUUCAAGGAGCAGAGGAUUCCAGUAUCAUCAUCACCAUACAUCCAUACCACACCUAUCUGCCAUCUAUUACAUUCCACUCCAUUAUAUACCACACACAUGCACAUCUUGACUUGAUUGUAUGACUUGAUUCUUUGGAUCCAUUGUUGACUUACAAUAUAUGUUCACAAGUAUGUAUGAGUUGUCUCCCCACCUAUGUGCUCCACAUAAGCCAUUUAGAUUUAAGAUGAGAGAGAGAGGGCACCUGACUAUGCCUAUAACAAAAACACCACAAACUUUGAGAGAAGAAAGAAGGCAGACAUCAUGAGUGCCUUGGAAAUACACAGGAAUCUCUGAGUUUUAUUUGAAAAUCUUGCAAAAACUCUAGAAUGAAAGUUGAUCAAAGAGCUUGAGACAUAGUGAUUGAGUUGACCAUUCUAUCCUUCAUCCACUCAAGACCAAGGUAAAAGAUAUAGGCCCCAUGGUGGAAGGUAAUAUGGGUAAGUCUAAGUCAUUACAGUUCAUUCUAAUCCAGAAGAAAGUUCUUGUUCAAAUGUAUGUGCAUUCUUGAAGUAUGAUAGCAUUGCAGCAACUUCUGAUCCUUUGCUGAGUUUUUCUUUGCUUAGGGAUGAGAAAAAAGAUAAGCUUGGGUGAGCUAGUUGACGGUACAUAAGUAUCAAAUUUAUAUCAACAAGAGAAUGGAAUAAAGGCAAGAAAUAAUCACCAACAAUAUAAUAGGGUUUCAACUAACAGAUUUCCACAGGUUUUGGUGAAUGUCUGUUUGUACAGGGGGUUAUCAGGAAAUAACCUUUGGAGGCCCACAUGUCAUGAUUACAUAGAGAGAAAAGAGAUAUCUACGCCAUGUAUACAAAAGAAGGAUCUAGAAGAGUUGGGAAGCCACUAGAACAAAGCGGAACACGAGCUGACCCCAAGCCAGGGUGGCCAAGGGGGGCGCCCACCAUCUCCUUGUCCAAUAAGGAGAGAGGCCGUGGAUCAUGACCUAAACUGACUUAGAGGAUCUCUAUUUUUUGUUCAUUAAGGUUGGUCUGAUCCAAGGGAUACGGUUCAUCCCACCGACCUAUAUAAGGAGGGGUAGACCCUAGUGUUUGGGGCAUCAAUUCAAGUUAGAGGUUGACCUCAUUCAUAGAAUUCAUUCUCUACUUUCUCCUCUAUAGAGCUCCAAGUUUAGAGGCAUAGCUACAUAGAAUAGAUCUAGUUG